UAAUACGUAGGGUGCAAGCGUUGUCCGGAAUUAUUGGGCGUAAAGAGCUCGUAGGCGGCUUGUCGCGUCUGCUGUGAAAACCCGAGGCUCAACCUCGGGCCUGCAGUGGGUACGGGCAGGCUAGAGUGCGGUAGGGGAGAUUGGAAUUCCUGGUGUAGCGGUGGAAUGCGCAGAUAUCAGGAGGAACACCGAUGGCGAAGGCAGAUCUCUGGGCCGCUACUGACGCUGAGGAGCGAAAGCAUGGGGAGCGAACAGGAUUAGAUACCCUGGUAGUCCAUGCCGUAAACGUUGGGAACUAGAUGUAGGGCCUGUUCCACGGGUUCUGUGUCGUAGCUAACGCAUUAAGUUCCCCGCCUGGGGAGUACGGCCGCAAGGCUAAA
Molecule: ribosomal RNA, 380 nt
Filed under: uncultured bacterium
Lineage: Bacteria
Description: bacterial SSU rRNA
Rfam family: Bacterial small subunit ribosomal RNA
Source: RNAcentral